The sequence is a transfer RNA, 77 nucleotides long. It matches the Rfam family "tRNA". From Rfam's summary of the family: Transfer RNA (tRNA) molecules are approximately 80 nucleotides in length. Their secondary structure includes four short double-helical elements and three loops (D, anti-codon, and T loops). Further hydrogen bonds mediate the characteristic L-shaped molecular structure. tRNAs have two regions of fundamental functional importance: the anti-codon, which is responsible for specific mRNA codon recognition, and the 3' end, to which the tRNAs corresponding amino acid is attached (by aminoacyl-tRNA synthetases). tRNAs cope with the degeneracy of the genetic code in two manners: having more than one tRNA (with a specific anti-codon) for a particular amino acid; and 'wobble' base-pairing, i.e. permitting non-standard base-pairing at the 3rd anti-codon position.
GCCCCCGUAGCCCAAUUGGCAGAGGCACCAGCCUUAAAAGCUGGACAGUGUUGGUUCGAACCCGACCGGGGGCACCC